CCUACGGGAGGCAGCAGUGGGGGAUAUUGCACAAUGGGGGAAACCCUGAUGCAGCGACGCCGCGUGGGCGAAGAAGUAUUUCGGUAUGUAAAGCCCUAUCAGCAGGGAAGAAGAAAUGACGGUACCUGAGUAAGAAGCACCGGCUAAAUACGUGCCAGCAGCCGCGGUAAUACGUAUGGUGCAAGCGUUAUCCGGAUUUACUGGGUGUAAAGGGAGCGUAGACGGCAGUGCAAGUCUGGAGUGAAAGGCGGGGGCUCAACCCCCGGACUGCUCUGGAAACUGUACGGCUGGAGUGCAGGAGAGGUAAGUGGAAUUCCUAGUGUAGCGGUGAAAUGCGUAGAUAUUAGGAGGAACACCAGUGGCGAAGGCGGCUUACUGGACUGUAACUGACGUUGAGGCUCGAAAGCGUGGGGAGCAAACAGGAUUAGAUACCCUGGUAGUC
Molecule: ribosomal RNA, 442 nt
Filed under: uncultured bacterium
Lineage: Bacteria
Description: partial 16S ribosomal RNA
Rfam family: Bacterial small subunit ribosomal RNA
Source: RNAcentral